RNAcentral lists this ribosomal RNA (912 nucleotides) under uncultured archaeon. RNAcentral's name for it is "bacterial SSU rRNA". It matches the Rfam family "Archaeal small subunit ribosomal RNA", at positions 1 to 922 of the family's 1478-position model. The record is from RNAcentral.
UUCCGGUUGAUCCUGCCGGAGGCGACCGCUUUUGGAGUUCGAUUAAGCCAUGCGAGUAGAAAGAAAUUAGAUUCUUUGCGAACCGCUCAGUAACACGUGGAUAACCUGCCCUAUGCUCUGGAAUAACCUCGGGAAACUGAGAAUAAUACCGGAUAGAUCACAACGCCUGGAACGGUGUGUGGUUGAAAGAUUACGGCAUAGGAUGGGUCUGCGGCGUAUCAGGUUGUAGGGGGUGUAACGGACCUCCUAGCCAUCGACGCGUACGGGUGUUGGGAGACAUAGCCCGGAGAUGGAUUCUGAGACACGAAUCCAGACCCUACGGGGUGCAGCAGGCGCGAAAACUUCACACUGCAGGAAACUGUGAUGAGGGAACUCCAAGUGCGUGCACUUAGUGUGCGCUUUUGUUGACUAUUAAUCGGUCAAUGAAUAAGGGCUGGGAAAGACCGGUGCCAGCCGCCGCGGUAAUACCGGCAGCUCGAGUGGUCGUCGCUUUUAUUGGGCCUAAAACGUCCGUAGCCUGUUUGGUAAAUCUGUGGGUAAAUCAACCAGCUUAACUGGUUGAAUUCUGCAGAGACUGCCAGACUAGGGACCGGGAGAGGUGUGGGGUACUCUAGGGGUAGGGGUAAAAUCCUGUCAUCCUUAGAGGACCACCAGUUGCGAAGGCGCCACACUGGAACGGAUUCGACGGUCAGGGACGAAGCCUAGGGGCACGAACCGGAUUAGAUACCCGGGUAGUCCUAGGUGUAAACGCUGUGAACUUGGUGUCGGGGAUCCGUCAUGGGUCCCCGGUGCCGGAGUGAAGAUGUUAAGUUCACUGCCUGGGGAGUACGGUCGCAAGGCUGAACUUAAAGGAAUUGGUGGGGGGAGCACUGCAACGGGAGGAGCGUGCGGUUUAUUGGAUUCAACGCCGGG